This 247-nucleotide ribosomal RNA is filed under the name uncultured bacterium. RNAcentral describes it as "partial 16S ribosomal RNA". It matches the Rfam family "Bacterial small subunit ribosomal RNA", at positions 523 to 769 of the family's 1533-position model. The record is from RNAcentral.
AUACGUAGGGAGCGAGCGUUGUCCGGAAUUACUGGGCGUAAAGGGUGCGUAGGCGGCAUGGCAAGUCAGAUGUGAAAUCCCCGGGCUUAACUCGGGUGGUGCAUUUGAAACUGGGAAACUUGAGUGCAGGAGAGGAGAGUGGAAUUCCUAGUGUAGCGGUGAAAUGCGUAGAUAUUAGGAGGAACACCAGUUGCGAAGGCGGCUCUCUGGACUGUAACUGACACUGAGGCACGAAAGCGUGGGGAGC